AGCGAACGCUGGCGGCAGGCCCAACACAUGCAAGUCGAACGAACUCUUCGGAGUUAGUGGCGGACGGGUGGGUAACACGUGGGAACGUGCCUUUAGGUUCGGAAUAACUCAGGGAAACUUGUGCUAAUACCGAAUGUGCCCUUCGGGGGAAAGAUUUAUCGCCUUUAGAGCGGCCCGCGUCUGAUUAGCUAGUUGGUGAGGUAAAGGCUCACCAAGGCGACGAUCAGUAGCUGGUCUGAGAGGAUGAUCAGCCACAUUGGGACUGAGACACGGCCCAAACUCCUACGGGAGGCAGCAGUGGGGGAUCUUGCGCAAUGGGCGAAAGCCUGACGCAGCCAUGCCGCGUGAAUGAUGAAGGUCUUAGGAUUGUAAAAUUCUUUCACCGGGGACGAUAAUGACGGUACCCGGAGAAGAAGCCCCGGCUAACUUCGUGCCAGCCGCCGCCGUAA
RNAcentral lists this ribosomal RNA (449 nucleotides) under uncultured bacterium. Its description in RNAcentral is "partial 16S ribosomal RNA". It matches the Rfam family "Bacterial small subunit ribosomal RNA", at positions 29 to 523 of the family's 1533-position model. The record is from RNAcentral.